UUUUUUUUUUGUAUGUGUGACAAAACUUGUGAAUGUUGUCGGACAAAGCCACCUUUUGCAAAGGGUGUGUCAAUUAACCAUCCUUGAAAAAUUAUACUGCGUAUAUAAGUAAAAUAUUAAAUUUUUACACGAAGAAUGAACACUUUCCAAUUUAGUGAACUACAGUCAUUGUUUAGAGAAAAAGAAAAUCAACAUGUACAAACAGAAUUAAGCCAACAUGAAACUAUUACUGGACAUAUCAGCAUGUACAAGUAAAACCAUAACAACAAUAACUCGGUUAGGAGUCUGUACAAAAAACAUGCUUACUACUAUUCAGCAACACAUCUGAGUGCUCUUUUGCAUUGAUCCACCUCAGAGGUUUUGAAACUUAAGGACUGACUGAAUUC
RNAcentral lists this long non-coding RNA (386 nucleotides) under Nicotiana tabacum (common tobacco). RNAcentral's name for it is "long non-coding RNA (NTAB_LNC007493)". The record is from RNAcentral. Lineage: Eukaryota; Viridiplantae; Streptophyta; Magnoliopsida; Solanales; Solanaceae.